CCCUUAGAUGUUCUGGGCCGCACGCGCGCUACACUGAUGCAUGCAACAAGUCUUUUCCUUGGCCGAGAGGCCUGGGCAAUCUUUGAAUAUGCAUCGUGAUGGGGAUAGACGAUUGCAAUUAUUCGUCUUCAACGAGGAAUUCCUAGUAAACGCAAGUCAUCAGCUUGCAUUGAUUACGUCCCUGCCCUUUGUACACACCGCCCGUCGCACCUACCGAUUGAAUGGUCCGGUGAAGGCUUCGGAGGCGGCUUUCUCAAUGUUUAUUCGGCGAGACUGCUGCCAAAGUUGAAUGAACCUUACCAUUUAGAGGAAGGUGUAGUCGUAACA
This 327-nucleotide ribosomal RNA is filed under the name uncultured eukaryote. RNAcentral describes it as "partial 18S ribosomal RNA". It matches the Rfam family "Eukaryotic small subunit ribosomal RNA", at positions 1470 to 1796 of the family's 1831-position model. The record is from RNAcentral.